This 99-nucleotide non-coding RNA is filed under the name Vagococcus penaei. Its description in RNAcentral is "Guanine sequence". It matches the Rfam family "Purine riboswitch aptamer". Rfam says of the family: Riboswitches are metabolite binding domains within certain messenger RNAs that serve as precision sensors for their corresponding targets. The record is from Rfam by way of RNAcentral. Lineage: Bacteria; Bacillati; Bacillota; Bacilli; Lactobacillales; Enterococcaceae.
UGGGAUUAAAUUAAUAAAGCUUAUAUAUGGCUAUAAUAUGGUUAGCCGUCUCUACCUGAUACCAAAAAUUAUCAGACUAUAAGUAAAAACAAGGGUAUU